UAGUACGGCGAGUGAGCGGGAAGAGCUCAAGCUUAAAAUCUCCGUGCAAGUUUUGCGCGGCGAAUUGUAGUCUAUAGAGGCGUGGUCAGUGAGGGCGCUCGGGGCAAGUUCCUUGGAAGAGGACAGCAUGGAGGGUGAUACUCCCGUUCAUCCCUGGGUGGCUCUUGCGUACGACCCGUUUUCUUUGAGUCGCGUUGUUUGGGAAUGCAGCGCAAAGUAGGUGGUAAAUUCCAUCUAAAGCUAAAUAUUGGUGCGAGACCGAUAGCGAACAAGUACCGUGAGGGAAAGAUGAAAAGAACUUUGAAAAGAGAGUUAAAGAGUACCUGAAACUGCUGAAAGGGAACCGAAUCGUUUCCAGUGUCUAUAAUCCGUGGUAUAUUUCAUUGGUGAGUGUGUGCGUGCGUGUGCUUUGGCAGUGGCUUUUUUGGCUGCGCUGGGCGUGUGUGCUGUGUGUGCUUGCUGGUGCCCUGUGCUGCGGUGGGACGUCAAGGUCAGUUCGUAUGCUGCGGGAAAUGGCUGCCGAGGAGGUAGGGCUUACGCUCCGCGUUUGUCUGUUAUAUCUUGGUGGACGAGUCGUCGCGGUUGGGACUGAGGUGCCUACAACGUGCUUUUGAGUGAGUGUGGGUCUCCGUGUGCGCCGUGUGCGGAUAGCUUGCUAUGCGUGUGUGGUUGUGUGUGGAUUGAUGCGCGCUGUAACUUGUCGCCGUUC
This 709-nucleotide ribosomal RNA is filed under the name Phytophthora cryptogea. Its description in RNAcentral is "eukaryotic LSU rRNA". It matches the Rfam family "Eukaryotic large subunit ribosomal RNA", at positions 81 to 618 of the family's 3401-position model. Lineage: Eukaryota; Oomycota; Peronosporomycetes; Peronosporales; Peronosporaceae. The record is from RNAcentral.